UUCCCUCUGUCUAAUUAUACGGUGGGUGAGGCUGGCACUCCUGGGUCCCAGAUUCCUGCUCUGGGAGGCGCCCUGGAAUACAGGCUUCUCCCAGUGCCUGAAACACCCCCUUUCAUCCCUUUUGGAACUGGCUUCCGUGGGGAUUCCCCAAGUCCCCCGUUCCAAGAAGGCUUCUCGGGUUCGGGGAGAGGCUUCCAUGUCCCCAGGGAGGCUGGGGGUGGCGGGAUGAGAGGCGACUGAGAACGAGGAAACCAACGGGAAGUGCAUACCUUGGGUGACAAAGUCAGAAGCCAGACUGCGGAAGAGGAAGGAGGGAGGCCCAGAGAUAAAGCAGAUUGAGUAGGAGGGACAGAGACUGGCUUGGAAAGGGAGAUUGUGACAAACUAAGGCUAAAAGAGAGGGGGGGGGGCACAGAGGCUAAGACACACAGAGACAAGGAAAGAGGGAAAUCCACGCCUACUCUGUGGCCAUGAGCGAGCUCUGUGUGUCCAGUGACUAGCCCGUGUGCGUGGUAGGGCUGUGGCUCUGCCUCAUGUCCAUGUGUGGCCACCUCACACCCUCCCUGCCAUCUGCAUGCCACCAGGUGACACACACGUCCCUGAAUCACAGGAGGUCAAAGCGUCGAGGGGCAUCAGCAUCGCCUCAGCCAACUCCCUCAUCUCAGUUUUACAGAUACGGAGACAAACAGCCUUCCUCGAGGAUCUCACGUGGUAGUUAAGAGACCACCUUGCUUCAAAUCCUUGCUCUCCUCGCUUCGUGACCUCCACAUACUUGCA
Molecule: long non-coding RNA, 776 nt
Organism: Cebus imitator (Panamanian white-faced capuchin)
Lineage: Eukaryota; Metazoa; Chordata; Mammalia; Primates; Cebidae
Exons: 3
Source: RefSeq, a predicted model, not a curated record